Long non-coding RNA from Gossypium arboreum, 476 nucleotides. RefSeq lists it as uncharacterized. The transcript has 2 exons. NCBI's taxonomy places the organism in Eukaryota, Viridiplantae, Streptophyta, Magnoliopsida, Malvales, Malvaceae. The record is from RefSeq and is a predicted model, not a curated record.
CCAUCUGCCAUUCUUCACAAGUAGCAAAACAAAUCCCAAUUCGUUUCAAGGAUUUUGACCCUGUCCUGAGAGGCUACGCACGAGGGUCAUCGGCACUUCUGCGCCUCCACCUCCGACGUCGAUCCGCGGAGUGGACCCAGGUACGUGCGUGGGUGUAUCACUGAUGUAGCGUAGUGAAGUAGCGUACGACACAGAGAAAGCACGCGACGUGUGGGGCAAGCUCGCUGUUGGCUGCGACACAAGGGUCUGCUUAGGGUUUCUUUGGCUGAAAUUGUUUAAGCUUUUGGGCUGAAAAUUUGGGCUAGGGUCUUUGGUGUGGGUUGUAAUUUUAGAUUAGGCCCGUGUAAUGUUUGGGCUGGUAUGGGUAGUGGUAUAGGUUUGUAAAUGGACAUUGGACUGUUUCGGUGUUUUUGUUUAAUUUGUUUAUUGGGCCCCGAGCUAAAAUUGGGCCUGACACAUACUAAUUAGGAAAGAAA